UACGUAGGCAGCAAACGUUGUUCGGAGUUACUGGGCGUAAAGAGUACGUAGGCGGUUUGCCAAGUUUGGUGUGAAAUCUCCUGGCUUAACUGGGAGGGUGCGCCGAAUACUGGCGGGCUUGAGUAUUGGAGAGGAAAGCGGAAUUCCUGGUGUAGCGGUGAAAUGCGUAGAUAUCGAGAGGAACACCUGCGGCGAAGGCGGGUUGCUGGGCUGACACUGACGCUGAGGCGCGAAAGCCAGGGGAGCGAACGGG
This 253-nucleotide ribosomal RNA is filed under the name uncultured bacterium. RNAcentral's name for it is "partial 16S ribosomal RNA". It matches the Rfam family "Bacterial small subunit ribosomal RNA", at positions 524 to 776 of the family's 1533-position model. The record is from RNAcentral.